Homo sapiens (human) is the source of this 4197-nucleotide long non-coding RNA. RefSeq lists it as uncharacterized. The transcript is spliced from 2 exons. The record is from RefSeq and is a predicted model, not a curated record. NCBI's taxonomy places the organism in Eukaryota, Metazoa, Chordata, Mammalia, Primates, Hominidae.
UCCAGCCUGGGUGACAGAGUGAGACUCCAUCUCGGAAAAAAAAAAAAAGAAAGAAAGAAAAGGUGGCAGCAAUAGAUUAAGAUGAUUUAAGGCUUUGAAUUCAUUAUGAAAUGAGUGCAUAGCAGAGGUAAUAUAAUUUGAAAAAAAUUGCAAUCCACUUAUCCUACCUACUUUUUAAAUAACUCACCUAAAUUUUUUCAUCCUUUUAUUAUAACUUAGAAUAAAGUGCAGAGACACAAAUCAAAACAAAACAAAAAUCCACAAGAUGGUAAAAUCUCUGUUAUGGAGCUUCUUUCCCCUGGUAAGAGAAGCAACAAGCAAGACAGAUGAAUAAACACAAUGCAUUCAGAAAGGCUUGGAAAAGAUAAAACAUGGACAUGUGACAGAGAAUGUGGGUGUUCAGGGAGGCUUCGGAGAAGGUGACAUAUGAACAGAGAUCUGAAUGGUGGAGGUGGGGGCAGCCAUGCCAAGGACUGGGGGAAGGUGGUGUGCACAGAAGGACCAGAGGUGUUGGAGUACCCAGAUACUGUUUACUCUGUGGAUACACAGAGUGAAUGGCAGGAAGGGUGGUAAGAGAUGACAUCAGGGAAGAAGGCAGAGGCACCUCAUCUAAGGCUUGUAGGACAUGGCAAUUCAAAAUCCCUAGAUUCUGAUCCACAUGAUGAUCACAGAAUGAGGACUUACUCGGAACAUGCUUGUUCACUCAGCUCAUGCCAGGCAUAGGAAACCACUGACCAAAUAAAUACAUACUGAUCAUCUAUUAUGUGCUUAAGCACCCUUACGGAAAAACUUUUUAAAGCGAUGCCAUGGAUUUUCACUCAGGAAUUUAAAGAAUGUUUUGUCCACUGUGAUUUUCAAAAUAAUAGCUAAGAACAAGGUUAAGAUCACUUCACUAAUAACCUCCAGAAUGACAGACAAUAACAAUGAUUUCCGUUUCAACAUCACAUUUAUAUGCAAUACCCAUAUUUAUUAUGCAACAUCAUAAGAGCUUUUCUAUUAAGAUCUUGGUAUUCAGCAACAAACUCUUUCUUGACUUAGUUCUAAGCCAAAUAUGACCCCUGAUCUUGCUUGGAUGGGAGAUUUGUAAAGUAUUAUGAAAAACACACUUAGUUUUUCAGCCCUAUAACAUUAGCAUACAUAUGAAUGUGUUCAGUAACCAUAAACAUCCAAUAUACAUAAGGUGGUAUUCAUACGUUUUCUGGUUGCAACAAUUACCCUUCAUUUUGUAUGAAGAGAAUAAAGGGAAGGAAACCAAGAUGAACCACGCCUGUAAUAGGGACUAGACGUGGAGUUCCCACUUAAUGCUCCCAAUAGCCCCAUGAGUAAGUAUUAUCUCUGUUUUACUGAAGUGCAGAUAAGUUGGUUAACUAGCUAGGUCAAAGCUCACACUCAUUUCCAAAUUAAUCCUUAAAGCUUCCUGACUGGGAGGAGCUGAUUAAUUAACAUUAAUUUAUUCAUCAUGCACUUUUCUAAAGCUCUUGAAAAGCCUAUUGAUCCACACUGGACUUAUCAAAGGAAAUGCACAAAAAUUUCCAAAGGGAAAUUUGCCCUCUAUUGCUGGUCAAAACAGCUUCACUGAAGAAGAGACAUACCAAAAUCUAGAAACUGAUUUUCUUUAAAAGUCUGACAAGAAAGAAAAAUCUGACAAGAAAAUUCGACUAGCCUAAAGUACAAAUGCACAGCCUCGCAGAGGGUGGUUUACAUGAGAGUUGAGAUGUUACUGGCUCGCAAAAUGAGGGUGUGCAGAAGGAGGGUUCAGAGACAGCCCAGCUUUGUCUUAGACAAAAUUAAUGUUCCCAGUCUGAACAAUGUGAACAUGGGCACAUCUUGUUUCUGCCCCUUUGAUAGGCAGCAGAUGUCACAACCAGUCAUAAAUGCAGGUCCACAGAAGUUUUCAAGAAAGGAACCUUGGGUUUGUAUCCAAGUUCUGAGCUGCUGCUGCCUCCAACACUGAGGUCCACUGAAAUAUUCCUGUCAGUAGACUUCGAGCAGGCAGUUAUUAUAAAAACGCAGUGAAAUCUGGGGCAAGGGGUGGGGGGGGGGAAUCUCUUGCAUUUUAUUUAAAUCUCUUGCACUUUAUUUAAGCCCACACAAGUACUCAUUUAGUUCUUGUUUAUUUUGCUCUUUAAUUCCUGGAAUUAUUCAGUCAGUGGUGUUUUUGGAAGUCUGUGUUCUCCAGAGUCUCCCCAUCCACAUAUUUUUGACAUGCUUGUAUGGAAAUUUUUUAAAAAUAAAGACCACGGUCAAUAGAAUUGUGCAUUUUCCUCACGAGUCGUUUUGUAAAUGAAUGAUCACGUGUGUGAUUUUUCAGAUGUCACUUGCACAACAGCAGACUAGAACUUUAAAACUCCUUGAUUUCAGUGAAAUCCAAGCUUUGCCUAUUCCCGUUCCUCUUCCAUCCAGGGGUUAUUUGGCUGAACUGUUUUCCUGUUUAAACAACUUGAACACCAACCAACUAGACAAACAGCGCUGCUUGCAAAAGAGGGCCUACUUCCUCCGGCCCCCACCCCCAUCCCAGCAACCCCACUCCGGCCGCGCACCAGCAGGGGAAAUCGCCACCAACGUCCCCGCUUCUCAUUUCAGCCCGAAAUUGCCCUGAAACGGCGCCCGUCGUGCGACUCCAAGUCCCUCAGUUCUCCGGCCAACUGGCCUAAUUUGGGGGUUCCCUCCCCGCGGAGUGGGGUCUGCGGUGAGGAUGUGGACUCCGAGGAAGACAGAGCCCUCCCUUAUUCUCGGCCACCUCCCCUCCCCGAGGGCAGGCGGGUUGCGCUUUUUUGGGAAAGAGUUCCCCAGAAGUGAUGUACGUGCUCGAGAAGGACAAGAUGUCGAUGUCUCAUCACUGAUGUUAACUUGGAUCAGUUGGUUAAGGUGGCGUUUGCCAGCCUUCUUCUUUGGAUCUACUGGCCAGAAUCCUCCUUUUCAAAGACCCCUUUCAGUGGACUAUGUCUCUUAGACAACUUUUCUCUGUUACCAGCUCCUGGAUGAAGAGUCUUUAAGCUAUGUUUGCUACAAUGUAUGCAUAAACUGUGCAAUUAUACUUCACCCAUGAGGGCCUCUGGACAACACUAGCCAGGGUCAAGCAAGGGUGCUUGUUUAAGCCUCAUGUCAUUGGCAAAAGAGUUCUAUAAAAUCAAGUCUAAACUCAACAACGUGAAAACAAAUGACCCAGUUAAAAAAAAUGGUCAGAUGAUCUGAAUACACACGUCAUCAAAGAAGUUAUAUAAUGGCAAAUAGAUGAAAAGAUGCUCAACAUCAUAUGUCAUUGCUGAAUUGUAUAUGAAAACAAAAAUGAAAUACCACUACAUACCUAUUAGAUACCAGAAUCCAAAAACACUGACAAGACCACAUGCUGGCAAAGAUGUGGAGCAAAAAGAACUCUCAUUCAAUGCUGGUGCAAAUGCAAAAUGGUACAGCCACUUUGGAAGACAAUUUGGAAGCUUCUUCCAAAACUAAACGUACUCUUACCAUACCAUCUAGCAAUCACAACUCCUUGGUAUUUAUCCAAAUGAGUUAAAAACUUACAUACACACAAAAACCUGCACAUGAAUGUUGAUAGCAGCUUUAUUCAUAAUUGCCAGAACCUAGAGGCAAACAAGAUGUCCUUCAAUAAGUGAAUGGAUAAACAAUGGCACAUCCAAACAAUGAAAUGUUACUCAGUACCAAAAUUAAAUGAGCUAUCAAGCCACAAAAAGACAUGGAAGAACUUUAAAUAUGUAUUGCUAAGAGAAAGAAGCCAAUCUGAAAAGACUGCAUACUAUAUGAUUCCAACUAUAUGACAUUUUAGACAAGGCAAAACUAUGGAGACAGUAAAAAGAUAAAUGGUUGCCAGGGGUUGGGGUGGGAAGAAGGAGGGGAUGAAUAGAUGGAACACAGAGGAUUUUUAGAGCCAUGAAAUUAUUCUGUAGGAUACUGUAAUGGUAGAUGUGUAUCACUAUACAUGUGUCAAAACCCAUAGAAUGCACAAAACGAAGAUGAACCCUAGUGUGGACAAUGGACUUUAGUUAAUAAUGUGUCAAUAUUGGCUCAUCCACUGUAACAAAUGUACCUGCUAAUGCAAGAUGUUAAUAAUUGGGGAAACUGGGGUAUGUGUAAGGAGGUACAUGGGAGCUCUGUACCUUCUGCUACAUUUUUUGUAUACAUCUAAAACUGCUCAAAAAUUAGUCUAUUUUUAAAAAAAUAAAAUCUGACCCUUUCCAA